Molecule: ribosomal RNA, 494 nt
Filed under: uncultured bacterium
Lineage: Bacteria
Description: partial 16S ribosomal RNA
Rfam family: Bacterial small subunit ribosomal RNA
Source: RNAcentral
GACGAACGCUGGCGGCGUGCUUAACACAUGCAAGUCGAACGGAAAGGCCUGCUUUCCCUUGUGGUUUGCGGGUACUCGAGUGGCGAACGGGUGAGUAACACGUGAGUGAUCUGCCCCCAACUUGGGUAUAAGCCUGGGAAACUGGGUCUAAUUCCCGAUAGGACUGCAGGGUGGUGCCGGUGGUGGAAAACGAUUUUCUAGUGGUUGGGGAUGAGCUCGCGGCCUAUCAGCUUGUUGGUGGGGUAAUGGCCUACCAAGGCGGCGACGGGUAGCCGGCCUGAGAGGGGCGACGGCGACAGUGGGACUGGGAUACGGCCCAGACUCCUACGGGAGGCAGCAGUGGGGAGUCAUGGACAGUGGGCGGAAGCCUGAUGCAGCGACGCCGCGAGGGGGAUGACGGGCUUCGGGUGGUAAACUCCUUUCGACCGCGAGGAAGCCACCUGGUUGGAAGGGUGGUGACGGUAGUGGUAGAAGAAGCACCGGCUAACUACGUG